GGUCUGUUAAUUCAACGGUAGAAUGUUGCGUUUACAUCGCAAACGUAGUAGGUUCGACUCCUACACAGACCA
Molecule: transfer RNA, 72 nt
Filed under: Candidatus Microgenomates bacterium
Lineage: Bacteria; Candidatus Microgenomatota
Description: tRNA-Val
Rfam family: tRNA
About the family: Transfer RNA (tRNA) molecules are approximately 80 nucleotides in length. Their secondary structure includes four short double-helical elements and three loops (D, anti-codon, and T loops).
Source: RNAcentral